This 253-nucleotide ribosomal RNA is filed under the name uncultured bacterium. RNAcentral describes it as "partial 16S ribosomal RNA". It matches the Rfam family "Bacterial small subunit ribosomal RNA", at positions 524 to 776 of the family's 1533-position model. The record is from RNAcentral.
UACGGAGGGCGCAAGCGUUGUUCGGAAUCAUUGGGCGUAAAGCGCGUGCAGGCGGCUUGGUAAGUCGGGUGUGAAAUCCCGGGGCUCAACCCCGGAACUGCACCCGAUACUGCCUCGCUCGAGUCCCGGAGAGGAUGGCGGAAUUUCCGGUGUAGAGGUGAAAUUCGUAGAUAUCGGAAGGAACACCAGCGGCGAAGGCGGCCAUCUGGACGGUGACUGACGCUCAGAAGCGAAAGCGUGGGGAGCAAACAGG